CCAAAUACUCUGUUCAACUUUUCGGUUAUUACAAUGGCGAAUUUCCAAAUGUUUCUUGCCGAUUCGAGAGGACAAUAGCAUCCAUUUCAAUAGCAACUAGCUAUCCUCUUGGCUCGAUGCCAGGAUUAGUUAAUCGUUAUCAAAGGGUUGAACGUGGUUCUGAUGUCAGUUUGCACGGAUUAUCGUCUACGGAGGCAGGAACAACCAGAAAAGGCAAAGAAAAUUGAAGGAGGAACAGCUUCCUCGCCAUAGAUGUGAGUGAUGAUGAGUACGAUGAGUAUGGUGUAUACCAGACUGAUAUUGAUACGAGCUGCUCUCCUCAAGGUAAUCAAUAUUAUGGCCCAAUGGAAUAUUAGGAGACGAGCAUAGGUGAUGGCCCCUGUAAGCAUCUUAGUGGGGAAACCCAAGAUUGCAUAUAUAUACAAGAAAGCUUUGUAUUUACCUCUUUUGGGAAGUUCGCUUUUUUCCAGGAAGGUAAAGACAAAAUAUUAUCUUCACACUCCCAUAGCUUCCAUAAACGAGAUUGGAGUAGCAGAAGCAAUAAAUAUAGUCACAUCAAUUGCUUUCUUGAUAGCUUUUGCU
Long non-coding RNA from Brassica oleracea var. oleracea, 582 nucleotides. RefSeq lists it as uncharacterized. NCBI's taxonomy places the organism in Eukaryota, Viridiplantae, Streptophyta, Magnoliopsida, Brassicales, Brassicaceae. The record is from RefSeq and is a predicted model, not a curated record. The transcript has 3 exons.